AGCUUUGCGCAGUGGCAAUAUCGUAGCCAGUGAGGUUUAUCCGAGGCGCGAUUAUUGCUAUAAAAAAAAAAAAAAGGAAAUGUGUCAAGUGAGGGCUUUGUUUCACUUGUGUCGAGUAAAACUCUGUUUUAAUUGCACAGUUUGAGAAGGUCCAAAAUCCAAUGUGGUGGA
This 171-nucleotide small nuclear RNA is filed under the name Echinops telfairi (small Madagascar hedgehog). RNAcentral describes it as "U4 spliceosomal RNA (ENSETEG00000024221.1)". The stretch from base 1 to 142 matches the Rfam family "U4 spliceosomal RNA". From Rfam's summary of the family: U4 small nuclear RNA (U4 snRNA) is a component of the major U2-dependent spliceosome. The structure of U4 snRNA from yeast and human has been reported. U4 snRNA presents a k-turn RNA motif in the 5p-SL related to recognition of Snu13 protein. Lineage: Eukaryota; Metazoa; Chordata; Mammalia; Afrosoricida; Tenrecidae. The record is from RNAcentral.